Bufo bufo (common toad) is the source of this 786-nucleotide long non-coding RNA. RefSeq lists it as uncharacterized. Lineage: Eukaryota; Metazoa; Chordata; Amphibia; Anura; Bufonidae. The transcript is spliced from 2 exons. The record is from RefSeq and is a predicted model, not a curated record.
GGACCGUCCGUUACAGGAUCUGCCCCAUCUCAGAAACCUAGAAGAUGGCGGCAGGAGGGGGGCGCCCCAUGGUGCAUCUAGUCUCAGCUGGAGGUCCGUGCCCAGCAUCCACUACUCUUUCAGUAAAGUAGAUGGAGACGGGAUCAGAAUGGGUUCUUCUCACUUGACACAUAUUAGCAGAAUUGUGACUGCAGCUCUGGAGGUGACUGGAGUAUAAGACAUGAUGGAACAGGAGAAUGAUGUGUACAGCUCUGGAGGUGACUGGAGUAUAAGAUAUGAUGGAAGAGGAGAAUGAUGUGUACAGCUCUGGAGGUGACUGGAGUAUAAGAUAUGAUGGAACAGGAGAAUGAUGUGUACAGCUCUGGAGGUGACUGGAGUAUAAGAUAUGAUGGAAGAGGAGAAUGAUGUGCACAGCUCUGGAGGUGACUGGAGUAUAAGAUAUGAUGAACAGGAGAAUGAUAUGUACAGCUCUGGAGGUGGCUGGAGUAUAAGAUAUGAUGAACAGGAGAAUGAUGUGUACAGCUCUGGAGGUGACUGGAGUAUAAGAUAUGAUGGAACAGGAGAAUGAUGUGUACAGCUCUGGAGGUGACUGGAGUAUAAGAUAUGAUGGAACAGGAGAAUGAUGUGUACAGCUCUGGAGGUGACUGGAGUAUAAGAUAUGAUGGAACAGGAGAAUGAUGUGUACAGCUCUGGAGGUGACUGGAGUAUAAGAUAUGAUGGAACAGGAGAAUGAUGUGUACAGCUCUGGAGGUGACUGGAGUAUAAGAUAUGAUGGAACAGGAGAAU